Molecule: ribosomal RNA, 273 nt
Filed under: uncultured bacterium
Lineage: Bacteria
Description: partial 16S ribosomal RNA
Rfam family: Bacterial small subunit ribosomal RNA
Source: RNAcentral
GACGGAGGGUGCAAGCGUUGCUCGGAAUUACUAGGCGUAAAGGGUGCGUAGGCGGCUUCUUAAGUCUGACGUGAAAGCCCAGGGCUCAGCCCUGGAAGUGCGUUAGAAACUGAGAGGCUUGAGUGCCGGAGGGGAGAGUGGAAUUCCCGGUGUAGCGGUGAAAUGCGUAGAUAUCGGGAAGAAUACCGGUGGCGAAAGCGACUCUCUGGACGGCAACUGACGCUGAGGCACGAAAGCGUGGGGAGCAAACAGGAUUAGAAACCCUAGUAGUCC